GAGAAUAUAGCUCAAUUGGGAGAGUGCUUGCCCAGCAUCCAAAAGGCCCUGGGUUCAAUUCCCCCAAACUUCA
This 73-nucleotide transfer RNA is filed under the name Mus musculus (house mouse). RNAcentral's name for it is "tRNA-Ala". The record is from RNAcentral. Lineage: Eukaryota; Metazoa; Chordata; Mammalia; Rodentia; Muridae.